AUAAAUGAGUGUCUAAUAGUGUUUUAAAUGUGUGCAUUCUUUAUUCUAGCAUUUUGGUGCAUUUUCUUUAAAAAUUAAAAAUUCUGUCUAAAAACCACAGUAAUGCGCCACCUUCAGCUGAAAACAUAGAAUUUGAGACAUUUUGAAUAAAUUUUAGCCAAUGGCUAAAGAGUAAAAUACUACGUAAACCAGUAGAGUACUACGUAGCAGCUCCGUGCCAAAGUUAUAAAAGCAACGAGCGUCUCGGCCACGCCCUGUGGCGAGUGGGAGUUGGAUUUGCAAGCGAGCGUAGGAGGUCAGCGGUAGUUCAGCAUUAGCAUAUAGCAUUAGCAUAUCCUAGUCUUUAGCAUAUCUUUUAGUGUUAUAAAUACUUAUUUAGUGUUAGUUUGGCUGUUGGAUAUUGUAGUUUAGUUAGUGUUUGGCUGUUAGUUUAAUUGGGAAAGUAGUUCGGGUUUAGUGUUCCAGAUCGUCUUAGUAUUGGUGAGUAGGUGUAGUGUAGUAUGCUUGCGGUGACUCUGUGGGCAUUUUACCCGCGAUUCUGCACGUCUCCGUUUGAAGAGGGAGGCUGCCCACCGUGGCUCUUCCGCGAUUUAGAUGCAGCCCACCGACUCUGCUCCCCCACCACGGUGGGCUCCAGUCUGAGGCUAAAUCUACCCAAGACACUGGCUGUCAGACUGAUUUAGCUGCAAGAAUGCACUUGUCCAGGCUGACGUGAAACCUUCCCUGUAGCAAAGCCAGCCAGAAUGGAGUUCACAGCCGCAGUGUGUCUGGUGACCCACGGGGACCAUGAUGAAAAUUCAUCUUCCAGAAGGUCCCAGAGCAGCGGCCACACCCCCUGAAAAGACCAAGAUGUAAGGUGUCUGCUGUUGAUUCCAGCUUCCACCUCAGUGACAGUGCAAGCUCAGUGAACUGUUCAAGGACACUCAGCAAAAUAUGGACUCUACACCAUGAGGCAGGCACACGUUAAUAUUCUAUAAGAGCACAUAAGGUGAGCAACACCACAUAUUGUACACUGUCCUGAAUUUGUUUUCUUUCUGCAUCUCAUUAGCCUGGCUGAUCACCUGAUAACUCCUGUCAUCUGGUUAUGACAGCAUGAGGAUGUCCUCACACCUGUAACCUAUCAGCUCAUCUGGCAGAAUAGAGAGAGAAGAGACAACACCACAUCUCCUGUUCCUGGAAAGCCUUCAGCCAUCCUUCGAUGACUGAGAACCUCCAUCAGCUCUGUCUCCUGUCUGCCUACAAUUAUUAUAAUAAAUAUUGUGUUUGACAAGUUUAAA
Molecule: non-coding RNA, 1277 nt
Organism: Nothobranchius furzeri (turquoise killifish)
Lineage: Eukaryota; Metazoa; Chordata; Actinopteri; Cyprinodontiformes; Nothobranchiidae
Source: RefSeq, a predicted model, not a curated record